GAUGAAGAACGUAGCGAAAUGCGAUAAGUAGUGUGAAUUGCAGAAUUCAGUGAAUCAUCGAAUCUUUGAACGCACAUUGCGCCCCUUGGUAUCCCGAGGGGCAUGCCUGUUCGAGCGUCAUUUCACCACUCAAGCCUGGCUUGGUGUUGGGCGACGUCCUCUUUGGGGACGCGCCUCGAAACGCUCGGCGACAUGGCACCGGCUUUAAGCGUAGCAGAAUCUUUCGCUUUGGAAGUCGGGGCCCCGUCUGCCGGAAGACCUGCUCGCAAGGUUGACCUCGGAUCAGGCAGGGAUACCCGCUGAACUUAAGCAUAUCAAUAAGCGGAGGA
Molecule: unclassified non-coding RNA, 329 nt
Filed under: soil metagenome
Description: partial contains 5.8S ribosomal RNA, internal transcribed spacer 2, and large subunit ribosomal RNA
Rfam family: 5.8S ribosomal RNA (bases 1-120)
Source: RNAcentral